RNAcentral lists this ribosomal RNA (403 nucleotides) under uncultured soil bacterium. RNAcentral's name for it is "bacterial SSU rRNA". It matches the Rfam family "Bacterial small subunit ribosomal RNA", at positions 26 to 433 of the family's 1533-position model. The record is from RNAcentral.
AGGACGAACGCUGGCGGCGUGCUUAACACAUGCAAGUCGAGCGGUAAGGCCUUUCGGGGUACACGAGCGGCGAACGGGUGAGUAACACGUGGGUGAUCUGCCCUGCACUCUGGGAUAAGCCUGGGAAACUGGGUCUAAUACCGGAUAUGACCUGCUCUCGCAUGGGGGGUGGGUGGAAAGAUUUAUCGGUGCAGGAUGGGCCCGCGGCCUAUCAGCUUGUGGUGGGUAAUGGCCUACCAAGGCGACGACGGGUAGCCGACCUGAGAGGGUGACCGGCCAGACUGGGACUGAGACACGGCCCAGACUCCUAUGGGAGCAGCAGUGGGAAUAUGCACAAUGGGACAAAGCCUGAUGCAGCGACGCCGCGUGAGGAUGGAACGGCCGUUCGGGUUACGUAAACCUC